This 103-nucleotide small nuclear RNA is filed under the name Microcebus murinus (gray mouse lemur). Lineage: Eukaryota; Metazoa; Chordata; Mammalia; Primates; Cheirogaleidae. The record is from RNAcentral.
UCGCCUCAGCGGCACAUGUGCUAAAAUUAGAACGAGACGAAGAAGAUUAGCAUGGUCCCUGCACAAGGAUGACAUACAAAUUCAUGAAGCAUUCCAUAUAUUU